UUCGUGCUCGAAAGAGAGCCAUAACACAGGUGCUGCAUGGCUGUCGUCAGCUCGUGUCGUGAGAUGUUGGGUUAAGUCCCGCAACGAGCGCAACCCUUGUCAUUAGUUGCUACAUUCAGUUGGGCACUCUAAUGAGACUGCCGGUGACAAACCGGAGGAAGGUGGGGAUGACGUCAAGUCCUCAUGGCCCUUAUAGGUGGGGCUACACACGUCAUACAAUGGCCGGUACAAAGGGUCGCAAACCCGCGAGGGGGAGCCAAUCCAUCAAAGCCGGUCGUAGUCCGGAUCGCAGUCUGCAACUCGACUGCGUGAAGUCGGAAUCGCUAGUAAUCGUGGAUCAGCAUGUCACGGUGAAUACGUUCCCGGGUCUU
RNAcentral lists this ribosomal RNA (371 nucleotides) under uncultured Hydrogenophaga sp. Its description in RNAcentral is "bacterial SSU rRNA". It matches the Rfam family "Bacterial small subunit ribosomal RNA", at positions 1009 to 1382 of the family's 1533-position model. The record is from RNAcentral. Lineage: Bacteria; Pseudomonadati; Pseudomonadota; Betaproteobacteria; Burkholderiales; Comamonadaceae.